Long non-coding RNA from Panonychus citri (citrus red mite), 1375 nucleotides. RefSeq lists it as uncharacterized. The record is from RefSeq and is a predicted model, not a curated record. The transcript has 6 exons. Lineage: Eukaryota; Metazoa; Arthropoda; Arachnida; Trombidiformes; Tetranychidae.
UUGAAAAUUCACCUGAUCCACUAAUGCGCAGUCUCGGUGACAUUAACGGUUAACCGCUUUUUUUGAACUUCUUAAACUCUUUUCAUUGUUUGAAUUUGAUUUAUUUACUUUUUGUUUUCGGCUAAUCAAUUUUCUCAUCUAAUUAAGUGAUUUUUUUUGUUUCUCUUUCAUUUUUCUUCCCAUCAAUUGAUUAAUAUUAUUAACUAUUAAUUCAGUUAAUUAUCUUGAAUUGUCUCUCUCUCUCUCUCUCUCUCUCUCUCUUUCUGGUAGAUUGAUGAUAUCCUCGUGUUAUCCAUGCAAUUGUCUGGUUCUUUAAUUGACAACAAUCUUUAACCUGAUCAGUUGAUUUGAAUGAUCUUUGGACUUUCUUCAUUCAUAACAAACAUAUAGAGAAAAACAAUGAAGCGGUUAUUGUCUUGUUGGGGAAAAGAAUUAAAUUGUAUCCCAUUAAGAUGGUGAUCAUUUCCGGUGAUGGUGGUGAUUAAGGAUAAACAACAAGGAGAAUAGAGAGGAGAAAAUCUCUAGUUGAUUAAUAAUCCACGUGUAAUUUCAAUUGGACGAAUGUGAUGAGAAUUUUUAAUUGUUUUGUUUACCAAACAUCUCUCAGUGGAUUUUUAGAUGACAAUCUUACUUUUCAAUGGCCAAAGGUUACAACAAUCAACUUGAACGAUAUGAUUACAUGUCAAACAAUCAACCUUUGUAUCGAUUGUCAAAGGCUCAUUGUUGUCCUGUUAUUUUCCCAACCUCGUUUGCUUGAUUACCUUGAAUGGGAAAUUAAUUUAUUGACAAUCAGUUUUGAUUGUGGCUCCAUGACAUUCACAAAUGAGGAAACAAAUUUCCAAAUGGAUUGAUAAACUAAGCUGAUUCCACUGUGAUCAUAUUUGUUUAGUUAAUUUUAGAAGGAAAAAUUUACUCUUUCUUUUUCAGAUUGAUAAUUUAACUUAUUUACUAAGUUAAUCAUCAUCGUCAUUACAAUUACAAUCUCAAAGGAAACACUGAAAAGGUAAACUAAUCACACCGAGAAUCUGAAUAACCUGAUCAAUUUUAGAGAUGAGGAAAAAAAGUGCUGAUCUCAAGCAAUUAACGUUGAUUGUUGACAAUUAACAUACACUACAAAUGAAAUUAAUCUCAAUGGAUCAUGGAUCUUAAUCAUGAUUUAAUAAUUCUUAAUACAAAGUCUAUCGGUCCAUUCAGAAGCUUAAUUGUGUAAUUAACUUGGAAUCUUAAUCAUUAUUGGUAAAUUUAAUCCGUUUUCAUGGUCAUCAUUUGUGGACAUGAUUAAUUGGAAUCACAAUCAACAUGAGAAAAGGACGAGAAAGAAAUAACCAGGAUAGUGAGGAAGAUAAUCUUGAGAAAUUAGCUAAUUGUCAUGAAU